UGGGGAAUUUUGGACAAUGGGCGAAAGCCUGAUCCAGCAAUGCCGCGUGUGUGAAGAAGGCCUUCGGGUUGUAAAGCACUUUUGUCCGGAAAGAAAUCCUUGGCUCUAAUACAGUCGGGGGAUGACGGUACCGGAAGAAUAAGCACCGGCUAACUACGUGCCAGCAGCCGCGGUAAUACGUAGGGUGCAAGCGUUAAUCGGAAUUACUGGGCGUAAAGCGUGCGCAGGCGGUUUGCUAAGACCGAUGUGAAAUCCCCGGGCUCAACCUGGGAACUGCAUUGGUGACUGGCAGGCUAGAGUAUGGCAGAGGGGGGUAGAAUUCCACGUGUAGCAGUGAAAUGCGUAGAGAUGUGGAGGAAUACCGAUGGCGAAGGCAGCCCCCUGGGCCAAUACUGACGCUCAUGCACGAAAGCGUGGGGAGCAAACAGGAUUAGAUACCCUGGUAGUCCACGCCCUAAACGAUGUCAACUAGUUGUUGGGGAUUCAUUUCCUAGUAACGUAGCUAACGCGUGAAGUUGACCGCCUGGGGAGUACGGUCGCAAGAUUAAAACUUAAGGAAUUGACGGGGUCAUAGCUGUUUCCU
RNAcentral lists this ribosomal RNA (583 nucleotides) under uncultured bacterium. RNAcentral's name for it is "partial 16S ribosomal RNA". It matches the Rfam family "Bacterial small subunit ribosomal RNA", at positions 355 to 1375 of the family's 1533-position model. The record is from RNAcentral.